Molecule: ribosomal RNA, 253 nt
Filed under: uncultured bacterium
Lineage: Bacteria
Description: partial 16S ribosomal RNA
Rfam family: Bacterial small subunit ribosomal RNA
Source: RNAcentral
UACGGAGGGUGCAAGCGUUAUCCGGAUUCACUGGGUUUAAAGGGUGCGUAGGCGGGCAGGUAAGUCAGAGGGGAAAUCUCCGGGCUUAACCCGGAAACUGCCUUUGAUACUAUCUGUCUUGAAUAUGGUGGAGGUAAGCGGAAUAUGUCAUGUAGCGGUGAAAUGCUUAGAGAUGACAUAGAACACCUAUUGCGAAGGCAGCUUACUACGCCUAUAUUGACGCUGAGGCACGAAAGCGUGGGGAUCAAACAGG